Mugil cephalus (flathead mullet) is the source of this 2262-nucleotide long non-coding RNA. RefSeq lists it as uncharacterized. NCBI's taxonomy places the organism in Eukaryota, Metazoa, Chordata, Actinopteri, Mugiliformes, Mugilidae. The transcript is spliced from 4 exons. The record is from RefSeq and is a predicted model, not a curated record.
GACGCUGCUCAGACAAGAUGUCGUCUGUAAAAUUGAAUCAAUCUUCUCCCAGAAGAAUAAAUAUGUCAGUAACUAGGUCGCCUGGCUAACUCAGUCGGUAGAACAUGAGACUCUUAAUCUCAGGGUGAACAAUGUUUAAUGCUCAUCUAGGCCAUCUAGGUUUCUAUGUUAAUCUGAUUCUUCAUAGAUUUAAGACACAUUAUUUCCUCAUGAAUUCAUCUCUUCAUACUUUAGACUGAACUAGUUUCAUCUUCCAUAUAAUGUUGUGUGUGCAGGUACAUCCUCCUCAGACACUGUGUGCUCUGACUGCAGUGAUGGAACAUUUUCAGAUGGAACAUUAACAUCUUGUCACCAACACACACAAUGUGAAUCAAUGAACCUUCAGCUGAUAACAGCAGGAACUAAGUCAACUGAUUCUGUUUGUGAGGAAAAAACUUCAAAUGUUGGAGUUAUUGUGGGCGUCAGCGUUGGAGUGGUUGUUUUAGUCGUUCUAAUAGUAGUCGUAGCAGUAUUGUGCUACAAAAGAAAGAAGAAAUGUCCAGCAGUUACAGACAAAAACAGAAAUGCAGACAACUUCAUAGAGAAUCCCCAAGAUACACAACAACCAGUGCCAGAAUUGAUUCCAUUGUCAAAGGAGGUGAGACAACUGUGUGCUCUUCAAUUAAAUGUUUAUUAACUGAGGAUCUUCUGGUUGUGUGAUGUCUCUACAAAUGUUUGUGCUUUAAGUCAGUGUGUUUCUCUCCUUCCAGAAUCUGGAAGGAAUUAAAGUCUGGAAGUCUGCAGAUAACAUCACGCGCAUUGUAUACAUCCCGGACGGGGACGAGUCUGCGUGUAUAAGCUAUUCCUCUGGUGCAGUCUGAACCACCUGGCGCUAAACCCACUCAAGACUGUGGACUUUAGGAAGAGACCCCCACCCACCCCUCCUCUUACCACUCUAAACAGGACCGUCCCCACCGUGGACUCAUUCAGGUUCCUGGGGUCCACAAUCUCAUGGGACCUAAAGUGGACAUCUCACAUUUACACUGUUAGGAAGAAGGACCAGCAGAGGUUGUACUUCCUAUGUCAGUUAGUUCAACCAGGAGCUGCUACUCUGCAGUAAUCCAGUCUGUCCUGACUGCCUCCAUCACGGUCUGGUUUGGAUCAGCCACCAGACAGGACAGGGACAGACUGCAGAGGACAAUCAGGUCUGCAGUGAGAGUUAUUUGCACUGUAAAAUCUCCACCGACCCCUCACAUCCCGGAUACUAUCUAUUCAGACUCCUCCCCUCAGGCUGGCGUUACAGAGCACUGCACGCCAAAACAACCCGGCACAGAAACUGUUUCUUUCCCCCGGGCUGUAGCUCUGAUGAACUCUGAGCAGUCACAGAGCACGUGACCAGUGAUGAUCAACUGGCGGCCCGGGAUUGGACGGUUCGGCCCACGACUGGAUUCAUGUGAAAAUAUCAUGUGGUCCGCACUAUUAAAGCAACUGGAAACAGCAACGAAAACUGAGACUCUUAACUAUCAGUAAUCCCCACAAUAUAUGACUCUGUUAAAUGAGGACAAACUCGCUGCACUGUUUAAAUGAACAUUUAUUGUUUAACACAGUUUCUUUUAUGUAAUUUAUGUAACAGGUAACGCAUUUCUGAAGGUUGGCAUGAUAAAUGCAUAAUUUUCAGUCCAUUUGUCAUUAAAGGAUCUGUUUUCCGCAUCAACUUUUCGUUUCAUGGCCUUUGAGAGUGCCAUUUUAGCCUAACUGUGUUAAGGGGCCUUUUCCUUCCAGUAACUGAAACUGUAUUGAAGCCAGUGAUGGAGGCUUUGUUUCAGCUGUGUUUGUUUUUCUAGUGCUCUAUAAAUAAAGUUUACUUGAAUUGAGUUAAGGCAAAAUAUCUCUAGCACUGCUGUGGUUGACUGGUGUAAGUGAUAGGGGCCUGACUCAUAAAGGCUAAAAAUGACUUGUUGUAUGUUAUGCCAACAUUUUAUUUUUAUUUUAUUUUAUUUGAGGGUCCGGCCCCCAAGGUGACUGACAAAUGUAGCAGGUAACCCCUGUACUAGACUGUAAGUCUUCUCAUGUUGUAUAUUUUUUCUAGUUUUUAUAUACAGUUUUUAUUUUAAGCUUAUUCGAGUGUUGUUUUUAUUUUGUUGUACCAUUGAACAAAGUGACCAGAGUCAAAUUCCAUGUAUGUGUUCACAUACCCUGGCCAAUAAAGCUGAUUCUGGUUCUGAUUUGGACGCUGGCAAAUUUUCUUUGCAGAGAACAUUAAAGACAAAUCCGUAAAACCGA